CCUACGGGAGGCAGCAGUGAGGAAUAUUGGUCAAUGGGCGAGAGCCUGAACCAGCCAAGUCGCGUGAGGGAGUACUGCCCUCUGGGUUGUAAACCUCUUUUGUCGGGGAGCAAAAGCCGGACGUGUCCGGCUGUGAGAGUACCCGAAGAAAAAGCAUCGGCUAACUCCGUGUCAGCAGCCGCGGUAAUACGGAGGAUGCGAGCGUUAUCCGGAUUUAUUGGGUUUAAAGGGUGCGCAGGCGGAUUUUUAAGUCAGCGGUGAAAUCGUGGGGCCCAACCCCGGGACUGCUCUUGGAACUGCAUGGCUGGAGUACAGGAGGGGCAGGCGGAAUUCCUAGUGUAGCGGUGAAAUGCGUAGAUAUUAGGAGGAACACCGGUGGCGAAGGCGGCCUGCGGGACUGUGAUUGACGUUGAGGCCCGAAGGCGUGGGGAGCAAACAGGAUUAGAUACCCUUGUAGUC
RNAcentral lists this ribosomal RNA (459 nucleotides) under uncultured bacterium. RNAcentral's name for it is "partial 16S ribosomal RNA". It matches the Rfam family "Bacterial small subunit ribosomal RNA", at positions 338 to 795 of the family's 1533-position model. The record is from RNAcentral.